GGGUUAGUGGUCUAGUGGUAUGAUUCACGCUUUGGGUGCGAGAGGUCCGCGGUUCGAUUCCCCGCUAACCCC
Molecule: transfer RNA, 72 nt
Filed under: Trichuris muris
Lineage: Eukaryota; Metazoa; Nematoda; Enoplea; Trichinellida; Trichuridae
Description: snRNA TMUE_0100000089
Rfam family: tRNA
About the family: Transfer RNA (tRNA) molecules are approximately 80 nucleotides in length. Their secondary structure includes four short double-helical elements and three loops (D, anti-codon, and T loops). Further hydrogen bonds mediate the characteristic L-shaped molecular structure. tRNAs have two regions of fundamental functional importance: the anti-codon, which is responsible for specific mRNA codon recognition, and the 3' end, to which the tRNAs corresponding amino acid is attached (by aminoacyl-tRNA synthetases). tRNAs cope with the degeneracy of the genetic code in two manners: having more than one tRNA (with a specific anti-codon) for a particular amino acid; and 'wobble' base-pairing, i.e. permitting non-standard base-pairing at the 3rd anti-codon position.
Source: RNAcentral